This 371-nucleotide unclassified non-coding RNA is filed under the name uncultured bacterium. RNAcentral describes it as "contains 16S-23S intergenic spacer region". The record is from RNAcentral.
UCCGAGUUGACCCCGGCAGUCUCCCACGAGUCCCCGCCAUAACGCGCUGGCAACGUAGGAUAAGGGUUGCGCUCGUUGCGGGACUUAACCCAACAUCUCACGACACGAGCUGACGACAGCCAUGCACCACCUGUACACCAGCAAAAGGGCCCCCAUCUCUGGGGUUUCCGGUGUAUGUCAAACCCAGGUAAGGUUCUUCGCGUUGCAUCGAAUUAAUCCGCAUGCUCCGCCGCUUGUGCGGGUCCCCGUCAAUUCCUUUGUGUUUUACCGUUGCCGGCGUACUCCCCAGGCGGAGAACUUAACGCGUUAGCUGCGACACCGAGAGGCAACCCUCCCAACAUCUAGUUCUCAUCGUUUACGGCGUGGACUAC